RNAcentral lists this transfer RNA (66 nucleotides) under Vestalis melania. RNAcentral's name for it is "tRNA-Ala". The record is from RNAcentral. Lineage: Eukaryota; Metazoa; Arthropoda; Insecta; Odonata; Calopterygidae.
AGGACUGUAGUUAACUAUAACCUUUAAUUUGCAAUUAAAAAGUAUUGAAUAUUUCAAUCUGUCUUG